AUUACGAUGUGCGUUCGAUAAAGUGCAACCGUCGAACGAGAAUGCAAUCACGCGACAAACGCUUUAAUAUUGAGAAUGAGUCAUACGCCUUCGACGAACAUCGUUUUAAGUGCAACCGAACUGAAUAUGGUUAUAUUCUAGCGCUAACUUAUCAAGAGACUUAACGUCGCUAGAUCGUUGUUGCAACAUGGUCGUUCGUGAAUUGACAUCGCGUCCCGUAAUUAAAACACGAACCAAUACGUGAUCGAGCGCCAGUAUAAUCGGUUACGUUGUAGUUAUUUGUGAAUCGACUCUAAUUUCUUACGCGUAUGACAUGGCGUUAUAAGGAAUAUCUGUCUCUUGGGAAAUGGAAAAAUACGAAACGCGAUUAAAGCAGCCAAUGAAAUUCCAUUUGAAAAAAGAAUUCUUUGAAGAGUAUUGGAAAGGCCGAACGACUGAAAGCUGGAACUUUCGAACAGUAAUAAUCGCAACAACAGACCGAGGAAGCAUUCGAGUACAAGGCGAGGGACUUUGAAAGAACUAUCGAGGCAGAAGAACUAAAUGGGGAGAUUCACACGCGGCUGAUCUUUCGGGGACGGUGGUUGAAAUUUUUCAACCCCCGACGACACUCUCGCUGCAUUGUACUCUCGAUACAAGAUAGUUACGUUGGAGCGUAAGUACGUCUGGAAGUUACAAUAUUCUUCAGGAAACGAAACGUCUCUCUCGAUCGAGCCUCUGUAGAAAAACACAGUAUCUUCAAAUAGAUGAUAAUUCGUCAAUUCGCGCGGGUGACGAAGAAACGUUUAGGAAUAAACACUCCUUUUUUU
This is a long non-coding RNA of Frieseomelitta varia, 806 nucleotides long. RefSeq lists it as uncharacterized. The transcript is spliced from 3 exons. The record is from RefSeq and is a predicted model, not a curated record. Lineage: Eukaryota; Metazoa; Arthropoda; Insecta; Hymenoptera; Apidae.